RNAcentral lists this transfer RNA (65 nucleotides) under Scotomedes sp. HL-2012. Its description in RNAcentral is "tRNA-Tyr". The record is from RNAcentral. Lineage: Eukaryota; Metazoa; Arthropoda; Insecta; Hemiptera; Velocipedidae.
GAUAGGAUGGCUGAAGUGUAGGCUGUAAAUUGUAAAUUUAUAAAUGGUUAUAUAACCUCUUAUCA